ACGAAGCGACGCCGCGUGUGGGAAGAAGGCCUUCGGGUUGUAAACCACUGUCGGGAGUUAGGAAAUGCAGGUGCGUUAAUAGCGCACUUGCUUGACUAAGGCUCCAGAGGAAGCCACGGCUAACUCUGUGCCAGCAGCCGCGGUAAUACAGAGGCGGCAAGCGUUGUUCGGAAUUAUUGGGCGUAAAGAGCACGUAGGCGGCCUUGCAAGUCAGUUGUGAAAGCCUUCCGCUUAACGGAAGAACGGCAUCUGAUACUACAGGGCUUGAGUACGGGAGGGGAGAGUGGAACUUCUGGUGGAGCGGUGAAAUGCGUAGAUAUCAGAAGGAACGCCGGCGGCCAAAGCGACUCUCUGGUCCGAAACUGACGCGGAGUGUGCGAAAGCUAGGGGAGCAAACGGGAUUAGAUACCCCGGUAGUCCUAGCUGUAAACGAUGGGCA
Molecule: ribosomal RNA, 439 nt
Filed under: uncultured Planctomycetota bacterium
Lineage: Bacteria; Pseudomonadati; Planctomycetota
Description: bacterial SSU rRNA
Rfam family: Bacterial small subunit ribosomal RNA
Source: RNAcentral